This 498-nucleotide ribosomal RNA is filed under the name uncultured Glomus. Its description in RNAcentral is "SSU rRNA". It matches the Rfam family "Eukaryotic small subunit ribosomal RNA", at positions 591 to 1092 of the family's 1831-position model. Lineage: Eukaryota; Fungi; Glomeromycota; Glomeromycetes; Glomerales; Glomeraceae. The record is from RNAcentral.
CCAAUAGCGUAUAUUAAAGUUGUUGCAGUUAAAAAGCUCGUAGUUGAAUUUCGGGAUCAGUACGCUGGUCGUGCCUUCGGUAUGUACUGGUGUUACUGGUUCCUACCUUCUGACGAACCGUCAUGUCAUUAAUUUGGUGUGGCGGGAAAUCAGGACUGUUACUUUGAAAAAAUUAGAGUGUUUAAAGCAGGCUCGCGCUUGAAUACAUUAGCAUGGAAUAAUGAAAUAGGACGUUCGAUCCUAUUUUGUUGGUUUCUAGGAUUGACGUAAUGAUUAAUAGGGAUAGUUGGGGGCAUUAGUAUUCAAUUGUCAGAGGUGAAAUUCUUGGAUUUAUUGAAGACUAACUACUGCGAAAGCAUUUGCCAAGGAUGUUUUCAUUAAUCAAGAACGAAAGUUAGGGGAUCGAAGACGAUCAGAUACCGUCGUAGUCUUAACCAUAAACUAUGCCGACUAGGGAUCGGAUGAUGUUAUUUUUAAUGACUCAUUCGGCGCCUUACG